AAUAAUGUUAAUGUUAUUAUUUAGAAUCUUAUUCUAAUAAUUUCAAGUGAUGUCUAUAUGUACUUAAGUAAUAGAAUUAGAAUUUGGCAUGAAAUAUGGUUUAUAUUACUAACUUCUUGAUAUCAUAUAUAAAUAUCAUAAUAAAACUAAAAUUUUACAAAAAUUUGUCUCUAUAAAAUUAAUAUUUAAGAGAAAGAGUGUAACACUAUAUAAACUCUUCAGAGACUUUGUGUUUUUCCAGUAAUGAAUUAUAUUCAAAAGGUGUUUUUCUAUAAAUUGGCAAGAUGUAUAAUAUAUUUUAUAUUCUAUUCUUGUUUUGUUUGUUCUUAUGAGCUUAACUAAAUACACUCAAAUCUUU
This 358-nucleotide long non-coding RNA is filed under the name Lathyrus oleraceus (garden pea). RNAcentral describes it as "Pisum sativum (pea) long non-coding RNA (PSAT_LNC035165)". The record is from RNAcentral. Lineage: Eukaryota; Viridiplantae; Streptophyta; Magnoliopsida; Fabales; Fabaceae.